GGGAGCAUAGCUCAGCGGUUAGAGCAGGCGACUCAUAAUCGCUUGGUCGGGGGUUCGAAUCCCUCUGCUCCCA
This 73-nucleotide transfer RNA is filed under the name Phycisphaerae bacterium. Its description in RNAcentral is "tRNA-Met". It matches the Rfam family "tRNA". Rfam says of the family: Transfer RNA (tRNA) molecules are approximately 80 nucleotides in length. Their secondary structure includes four short double-helical elements and three loops (D, anti-codon, and T loops). The record is from RNAcentral. Lineage: Bacteria; Pseudomonadati; Planctomycetota; Phycisphaerae.